Tachysurus vachellii is the source of this 8024-nucleotide long non-coding RNA. RefSeq lists it as uncharacterized. Lineage: Eukaryota; Metazoa; Chordata; Actinopteri; Siluriformes; Bagridae. The record is from RefSeq and is a predicted model, not a curated record. The transcript is spliced from 6 exons.
AUGUGGCGCUGUGGAAAUUGUGAUGCGCGUCGCACAAGGUGUUUCGGACAUUUCGGAAACGCUGAACGGACACCGAACCAGUGGCGCAUAAACAAUAAGUGAAACGAUCCUGCAAGUGAUCCACGAUCAUACGAAAGCAGCUUGAUCUAGGGUUACAGGGAACCUGAAGCUUUUCCCAGGGGACUCCCUGGACAAGGUGCCAAGCCAUCACAGGGCAGGAUUGCACACACACUCACUCGCACUCUAUGGGUAAUAUAGAGAUGCCAAUCAGCCUACAACGCAUGUAAUUGGACUGGGGAGGGAAAGCAGAUUACCCCAAGGAAUCCCCCAAAGCACAGGGAGAACAUGCAAACUCUGCACACAGAGCAGAGGCAAAAACCAAAUCCCCAACUCCAGAGGGCCUUUGCACUCAUCGGUUCUUCUGCCAGAGACGUCUUCAGUUUCUGUGCUGUUGUUGAAAACCAGUUAAUCAAGAGUGGCGAGAGCUUCCAGGCAACCUUGGGGCCCUGAGGCUCUUCUACUGCUGACGAAUUGUGCUACAGGAAGUGGAACUCGCAGGAGAGAUGACACAGCUAAAAUUAACCGGCCUGUCACCUUCUGCUGAAUGACAGAGUAUAGAAAUAGUAAAAAAGAAAAGAAGGACCUGGGUUAACAUGCCUUAUCAGCUAGCAUAUUACGCACAUAAUGAGUGUUUUAUUUACAAGGCACUCAGUAGAGGAAAUAAUGGUCAGUGUGUGAACUCAUUAUUAUAAAUGUUUGUUAUUUCAGAUGGAGGGUAAAUUUCCUGUUUCUAAAUAGCUUUGUUGCAAGAAAGCGCAUUGAAGUUGGCCCUCCAUUGUUUGAAAUAAACAGUUUCGUGUCUUUAUGGUCAGUGAUGGAAGUAAAUGAGACUGGCUUUAAUCUUCAAUUUUUUUUAUUUCCGACUCAGUGAUUUGUCAAUGCUGAACAGGCCUUAGAACUACAGCACUGGCCAGUUGUUCAUUAACUCUCAUGAUUUAAUCCAUAAACCUGUGCCAACAACUCCUUCAUUGGAGCAGUGAAACAGCUUCUCAUAAGCGUAUCCCGAUCAACACUGCAUCUGUUGCAGUAUGCCAAGUUCACUAUGGCAAUUAAUCCCAUAUCCUGCUACUGUGUUAAGCAUGUCUGAGCACGUUUUCCACAUAAGCCUUGCGAUUCUUUCAACUAGACUGGAAUUUAUGCCAUGCUACGUGCCUUUUGAGAUUCAGUAUUAUGAAAUGUUUGUUCAUAAAGUAAGUUGUUUUCAAUUCUCACUUCCUUACAUCUUACGUCUGUCACCCACUUGUCAGGGCUCUGGUUACUUUAACCUUGUUGUUUAUCGCAUCUUCUGAUAAUAUUAUGUUACGCCAGCACUUUAUGUGCGAAACUUCUGGGUGGUUAAUGGAAACAGUAUUAUACCCAUGCUGAACUUGUGAUAAUCCAGUAGAACGUACACUCAUUAUCCACUUUACUGGGAAGUUUAAUAACUUUUAUUAUUCUCUAGCAAGGGUGGCAGGAAGAGGUAAAAGUGUGUGAACAAACACAGAGACAGCAGAAAAACGCAGAAAUGAACAUUGAUACUGCUAACAAGCUGAUACUGUAGAGUAGAAGAGCAAGACUUAUCCCCAGGGGUUUAGACAUACAGUAUACACUCACAAGACAGGUACACCUGCUCAUUUCCUUUUCCAGGAUAAAUAAUUAUAGUUUCUGAGUUUUGAAGAGGGCUUCUCGAGUUCACAGGGCAGUCAGGCUUCUCUAACAGUAAAUAAUAUCAUUUUAUCAAGUACAUUAUCAUUUAAAAUGAAUUAAAAUCCUAUGGUUUCAAUGCAUAAGAUGCCUCCUGCUGAUGGCUGACUGCGGCUCAACAUGUCUGGAAUGUCCAGCUUUAAGCCACAUGGCAUCUCAAAAUUUAUGAUAUCAGCCUAAAAAUCUGUUCCCUAGUUACAAACGAUUUUUGCUGUUCCAUACUUAUUAAGUUUAGUUUAUCAGAUUUAUACUUCAGGAAAAAAAAUCUUUCACUUUGAACCCUAAAAACUUCUAACUCUUAAAGUGAGCCCCUAAGGAACUAGGAAAAAAUCUGGUGUAACAGACUAGUUUAACUUUGUUUAAUAAAAUGUUCUUUUAGGCACCGCAUUAAUAAAUCAUAACAAAGGGCAGCAUUACAGCAGAGAAGGCAGAGUUUUGAAGUUGUCUGAUCUGAUACACACAGCCCCAGUGCCACACUUCUGGCAGUGUUGCUGUAUCCCUGGCCCAAGUUAUUUCUCAAUUCACUGAUGUGACAUUGUGGUAAUGAGCCCUCAGUGUGCUGCAUGCAGUGCCAUACUUAAACUGAGCACUAAGAGGCUUAUUGGUGUGCGAUCAGCCUGCUCCUGUUAGCAGUGUCUCUUUCCUGAGCAUAAUGUCACAGAGAGUAGCAUGCUGGGAGAAGUAGUCAUGCCAAAAGUGAUGGCAUCAGAAUUAGGAAGGGUUUGUUUUUAUUAUGCCUUGUACAUUUACACUGCAUUUCUUUUUUAGAUUUCAUUCAAUGGUUUACCAAGUCUUAAUCUUCCACUAAACAAACCGUUUGCUGUUUUUAACUGUUUAACAAAUGAACAUACUAAGCAUCUGAGCAUACUCAGCAACUAGCUGACAGCUUAUAUGACUAAUCACACCACCUAUACGCUAUGUCCAUAAGUCAGCCAUUACAGUACAUCAGGAAAACAACACUAACAUGGCUAUAGUGUAAAUAUCAGAAUAUUUACUUAGUAAAAUGACUAAUAUUCUAACACGUUCUUUGCUAUGCAAAACUUGUGCCUGUUCAUGGAUUCAUUACAGCAAGAGGAAGUCUGUGUAAAGUUCACAGGAUGUUCCAUGGUAGCUUCCCUGUAUUCACUCUCAGUGACCUCUCUUUUUCUCUGCCUGUGGCAAAAAUGUCAAAACUGAUACCUCUCAUGUCUCAUCUCAGUUCAUUUAAUACUCAUCUAUUUCCUGUUCUUUUUUUGGCACAUACACAAAGUAAAACGUUUUCCUCAGCAGGAGGUUCAUUACAGCAUUACUUGGUACUGACGUGUGCAGUUGUGCACUAACUUAUUUCCAUGUUUGCAGUUGCUAAAGUGAACAUUUGUUAUCAACUUUUAUUCACACCCUAAUAGCAGGGAUACUGUAUGCACCUUCCCUGUCUCCUCUGAGGGUUAGUUAUUAAUGACAAAUGGCAGGUCUGUUAUUAACAGACUGUGUCUGUCCUUCAAGGAUGUGACCCAAGAGAGGGAACAAAAUAAACAGAGCAGCCUGUUACGUAAUGGCUGCUCAGCUAAGCUAUGUGCCUUUAAAAGCUGUGGGAUGUCAGGUGAUCAGGCAAGCGCAGUCAUCUCAGUUCACUGAGACGUGAGUAUGUAAUCACACAAAAAGAUGAGACACUGGAGUGCAGGAGGAAGAGCGGGAAGAAGAGAAAAAGAGGCAGCUAGAUGGGCAGAGACCCAAUUAAAGGAGGGCAGAGGCAAAAGAAGGACAUGAAAGCAGAAUGAAGAGAGAGCGAUAGAAGCGAGAGGAAGAUGGCCAUGUCCGUUUAAGCGACUGCUCUCUCUUUUUAUCUCCCUCAUUUCUGACACUGUAGCACGAAUGCCGUUGUGAUGAUGCUGGGUUGAGUUUCCCAUGAAGAACAGCUUGCGUAGCCAUAACAGAGAGAGGGGAGAAAAGCCUGGAGAAUUAAAUGCUGCGUCACACUGUGCGCUAAAAAGAGGGAAAGCGUAUGAGAGAAAGAGAUGUAGAGCAGGAGAGAGAGGCAUCGUGGAAGCAUGGGUGUUUGCAGCAGAUAUCCAAUUGUUUGCUUGCAAAGUCUUUUGACGUCUAUUUGUAUGGAUGUGUAUCAAAAAAAAAACACAGCAAGUUAUUCUGCUGUUACAAGCCAAUGAAAUCAGAGUGAGCAGGAGAGGGAGGAGUGAUUGUGGAAGGAGGGAGGGUGACCAGGAGAGCAAGAGAGAGAGAGAGAGAGAGAGAGAGAGAGAGAGAGACAGAGACAGGGAGGGCAAGAUUUUUGGAUUAGUUGCUACGUCACUUUUUCACAUCGAAAGGAAAGCAGCAGCUAGGAAGACAGGAGUCCGAGUCGCAUGCUUCUCUCCUGCCCAAGAGCGGCCGUGAGUGAGCCUCAGCCCUCUGUCUACUCGUUCGCCUCUCAUCCUUCUCUUUUUCCUCUCCAUCCUCAUUCUCAACCACCCUUUUCUCUCUCUGCCUCUGACGCCCGAGUCCGCACUUUCGGAAUCGCAUCUCUGGGUUCCAACACCGAUGACGAGGAAGCUGACAUACUUUUUCUUUAUCUAUACAUAUUUAUAUAACAAUAUAUAUAUAUAUAUAAAUAUAUAUCUAUUUACGUCUGUAUGUGAUGGCGUCGAAAGCGUUUCAGCAAGCAAGCGGGCAGGUGAAGGGUUAAAGACAGAGCUCUUGUUCUAGAAGGUUCCUAUAUUCGAGGAGAAAUGUGAUGGAUAUCCUUCACAGUGUACUAAAUAGUAUCGUAACACCCACAACAUUAUUUGGACCAAUGAGGAAACAAGUGCUUACACCAUGAGCACUGUGUGUAAUUCUGUUGUAGGUGUGUGGGAUAUUAGAGAAACGUAUAUAAAAAAAAGAUAUUCUUAGUAACAUCUGAGCUUUACUUCAUCACAGCCCAGUGACAAUUCAAGCCUGUUGAGGAAGAAGUACUUCAUACUGCAUUUGGCCUGCUCAUGCGAAUAAUGCAUGUUUUGGGCUGUGGCAUGAAUAUCUUGGCUGGGGAUCAGGUACAGGUUGGUGAUGAUGAUGCAUGGGUUAAACUACUGUGAACAAGAGCUUAGCUUGUGAGGGCUACAUUUGUGAUCUUCUGGCACACACAGCAAAGUGGAAUGUGCUGGUAAAUUGGGGCGUUUUUGUUAGAAUUGGACUGCGGCUCGUCCCUGUUAGCGUGUCCCUCAGCUGCACUCGCUUCUGCAUAGCUACUGGAAGUAGUGCAUCUGAUGUGACUCAGCCAUAUCUGCUGCGUUCAGACUCUCGAGCAUGGUAUCUAUUUUCUUCUGUCAGUUCUCUCUCUCGCUCUCUCCUGAAUUGCAAGGAUGCCUUGAAAAUACAGGACUGUGCUGAAAAGGCUCUAAAUGUCACGCAGGCAGACCAGGAAGAGAGAAAGAAAGAGCGAGAGAAAUUGUUUACCUUGCUCUCUUGGUUACUGUGUUCUGGCUGGCGGCCAGUUCACAUGCGCUAAACCUCCGAAAGCAGCCACGUCAGGCACCUGAGUGACAGCUCUCUCAUCCUGUAAGGUUGUCUAAAGCGCUUUUGCAGACAGAAUUCUAUUGGACCAGCUCAAACAAACAGGUAGAGACAUCCCUGUUGUUGGCCACAAGGUAAUAUUGUCCCUUUUUUCUUUUAAGUUCUUGUUUAACGGUUAGACGGAGAGUUAAACAGAAUUCAUACUGACUAAACUAUUUUAAAAGCACUUUGCAUGAAAGCUGAAGGAUAGGUGAUUUUUUUUGUGGUAUUACUUGAUAAAUGUCUGUAUGUCUUAUGACUGGUUUGAUGAGAGCACAAGCGUGAAGCAAUACUGUUGUUGUGUUGCCAGGCACAUGGCUGUGUGUGUCUCUCUGUGUGUGUGUGUGUGUGUGAGAGUGAGAAGUGUGACGCAGUUGAUCUGUGCCUGUUGCUCUGGUGUUUAUCAGCUCCCUUUUUCCUCUGCUAGCUGACCACUGCAUAUCCUGCUUAGAGCGGUUGAAUCACUUUGCCUAUUUUUUCGCAGAGUUUUAGAACAUCCCUGUGUCAUCUUAGAUUAUGAAGGAAAGCCGAGGGAUUCUCCUCUCCCUUCACCUUAGUCUUCUCACCACUUUCUUCCAACCAUGGCAGGACACGGGUCUGCGUGGACACCAGUGACCCGCAGUGCAGCUGUUACUGCAGUCAACGCCACAGCCUGGCAUGCUGGCUUGUCGUGGUGGGCACCACGGGCAACGGAAUCAUGCCUUAGUCAUGCCUUAUAGAUGAGGCAGGCCACGGAAGAGAAUUACCCUGUGGGUGGUUUGCAAAUGGUUUUGGCCUCUGAUGUAUAUAGGAAUGAAAGCUGGUAAUUUUCACUAAUCUGCACAGGUUGUUCAUCAAACCCAUGGCAUGUGUGUGCUUGUGUGCUUUUUUCGACAUUUUGCAUUUACCUUUAAUUGUUUAGAGAUUAUCGGUGACAUGGGAACUUGAAAUUAGGAAAGACAAACUGUAUCAGGGUUAAUAUUAAGUAUUUGAUAAAUGAGCUUGGUAAAUUCCAUUCUAUUAUUUUCUUGAUCUCUGGUAAGAACUCUAUGUUUACACUAGUUUAAGGUAAUAAAUGUUAUCUACUUUGUUUAGACAUAUUGCAUACUUAGUACAGAAUAAAUUUGUUGUAUUUUAGCUCAAUGUUUUAUCUACUUAACGAGCUGUUAUGUUUUCCACAUCCUGGUCCCGUUGAUUUGAUUUUUUUUUUUCCAGAAACACUGUUCCUUUAAAUCCUUUAUAAACAUUACAUAACACACUGAGGGCCAGGCUACAACAAACAAGCCCAGCAGCGCGAGAGCAAGAGGGGGGCUAAGCUCCAGAAGCAACCAGAUACCUCCAAACAGCAACUGUCACCAAGAUCCUCUGUGCUCCGAGCCCAGGAAACUCCCUUGAACAUUGUCCCAUCCAGAAGAUAAAGCCUUCAGUGUGCCUCUCUGUCCUUCCUCCUAUUGUAGUGUCCAAAUCAAACAUGUAGUGUUUGAGCAGAUCAGAGAAGGAAGUGGAAAUAUUUUUUGGCAACUUAUACCAAUUACUUCAAUCUUCUUUAAGCAGAAAGUGUGUUCUAAACAGACACUUUACUGAGGGAACGGAAAAAAAAAAAACAAGCUAGGAGUAAAAUCAAUGGGUUAGGGUGCGGUAGGACAAAUGUCCUUUUACCUGCCAGAAUAUUUGCCACGAUUGGACGUGCUGUAUCGUGAGUUUUGGCAUUCCAAUGCAUUCAGGUAAAUGAUUCAAUCUCAGGUGUGUUAGGCAGUACCUGUCACCACACCUCUGCAGCGUCCUUACAGAAUUCUCCAUUUUCCCUAGUUCACUCCAUUUUAGGAAAAACACAUUCAACACAUAACCAGCAGCAAAUACAUAAGAGCCAGAAAGCAACAUCUUUUAGUGCACAGUGUCUCAGGUGAGCUAAACUAAUCUUUUCACCUGCUGGGAUUAGCAUUCUUUUGUAUUCUGAUAUGUAGUACAUUUUGCAAGUAGCAUGCUGAAACACACUUGAAUUCAGCGUUGUGAUGUCAAAUAGGAGCCAAAGGCACUGCCGUAGUACAGCCUUGCAUUUCAGGCCUGCCCACAAGGUUGUCUAGUUUUGCUGCCGUAGUGAUACAGAUCAUAACACUGAUUGCUGAUGCUGCUAUGUGUAUGAUUGCUGUUGAAUUUCUUAAAGAAGCAGAUGUUGCCGUUAUGUACAGAUUUUUAUAUGUCGAAUUAGGACCUGGUAAGACCUGGCUUUGAAUAGUAUUAUAUCUCAUAGAUGAUUUUUAUUUGGUGAUAUUUUAGGCCCCUGAUCAUAUAAUUCUGAUCUGUUGAUAAAAUUCAUGGUAAGAUCAUGUUCUCACAGGAAGUCUGUUGUUUGGGUUAUUAUCUCUAAGGUGAUUUUGGUUGGAAUUAUUUUUAUUGUUUACAACUAAACAAACAACAAAUUCAAGCUGCAUUUCUGAGCCUCCUUGAUCCAGUUCUGUUUUCAUAUUCAUUGAAUGCUCAGUAGUGAAAAAUGAGGCAUUGCUGGAAUGUAUUCACUUUCGUAUGAACUUUAUGGCCCUUGAUCAAGUAGAUGAAUACUUAUAAACCUGGAAUGAAUCAUAAAGAUUUUCAUUCAAGGCCAGAUUUAUCUCUAAAAAAGACUACCUGAAGAGAGUUUUUGUGGCUUGCAUGUGGCCUGACAGAAAAGCGUUUAAUAUUCAACAAAUUUUGUUUUUCAGGGAAAUUUUGUAUUAAACGCUUGUUGUGCAGUUCAUCUUUAUUUAAGCCUGCCCAUGUUAAAUUGAACAAAUGAGCUAAUAAAGAUUUUGGCUAAACUA